Molecule: ribosomal RNA, 448 nt
Filed under: uncultured delta proteobacterium
Lineage: Bacteria; Deltaproteobacteria
Description: bacterial SSU rRNA
Rfam family: Bacterial small subunit ribosomal RNA
Source: RNAcentral
GCGGCGCACGGGUGAGUAACACGUUAGGCAAUCUGCCUCCGAGUGGUGGAUAACCUUCCGAAAGGAGGCUAAUACAGCAUAAGACCACGGGUUCGUAGAACCUGAGGUCAAAGCGGACCUCUUCAUGAAAGUUCGCGCUUGGAGAUGAGCCUGCGGCCCAUCAGCUAGUUGGUAGGGUAAUGGCCUACCAAGGCUAAGACGGGUAGCUGGUCUGAGAGGACGAACAGCCACACUGGAACUGAGACACGGUCCAGACUCCUACGGGAGGCAGCAGUGGGGAAUCUUGCGCAAUGGCGAAAGCCUGACGCAGCGACGCCGCGUGAGCGAUGAAGGCCUUCGGGUUGUAAAGCUCUGUGGGGAGAGACGAAUAAGGUGCAGCUAAUACCUGCAUCGAUGACGGUAUCUCCUUAGCAAGCACCGGCUAACUCUGUGCCAGCAGCCGCGGUAA